RNAcentral lists this ribosomal RNA (468 nucleotides) under uncultured bacterium. RNAcentral's name for it is "partial 16S ribosomal RNA". It matches the Rfam family "Bacterial small subunit ribosomal RNA", at positions 28 to 507 of the family's 1533-position model. The record is from RNAcentral.
GACGAACGCUGGCGGCGGGCUUAACACAUGCAAGUCGAACGGAAAGGCCCUGCUUUUGUGGGGUGCUCGAGUGGCGAACGGGUGAGUAACACGUGAGUAACCUGCCCUUGACUUUGGGAUAACUUCAGGAAACUGGGGCUACUACAGGAUAGGAGCUCCUGCUGCAUGGUGGGGGUUGGAAAGUUUCGGCGGGUGGGGAUGGACUCGCGGCUUAUCAGCUUGUUGGUGGGGUAGUGGCUUACCAAGGCUUUGACGGGUAGCCGGCCUGGGAGGGUGACCGGCCACAUUGGGACUGAGAUACGGCCCAGACGCCUACGGGAGGCAGCAGGGGGGAAUAUUGCACAAUGGGCGGAAGCCUGAUGCAGCAACGCCGCGUGCGGGAUGACGGCCUUCGGGUUGUAAACCGCUGUCGCCUGUGACGAAGCGUGAGUGACGGUAAUGGGUAAAGAAGCACCGGCUAACUACGUG